GACGAACGCUGGCGGCGUGCUUAACACAUGCAAGUCGAACGGAAAGGCCCUGCUUUUGUGGGGUGCUCGAGUGGCGAACGGGUGAGUAACACGUGAGUAACCUGCCCUUGACUUUGGGAUAACUUCAGGAAACUGGGGCUAAUACCGGAUAGGAGCUCCUGCUGCAUGGUGGGGGUUGGAAAGUUUCGGCGGUUGGGGAUGGACUCGCGGCUUAUCAGCUUGUUGGUGGGGUAGUGGCUUACCAAGGCUUUGACGGGUAGCCGGCCUGAGAGGGUGACCGGCCACAUUGGGACUGAGAUACGGCCGAGACUCCUACGGGAGGCAGCAGUGGGGAAUAUUGCACGAUGGGCGGAAGGCUGAUGCAGCAACGCCGCGUGCGGGAUGACGGCCUUCGGGUUGUAAACCGCUUUCGCCUGUGACGAAGCGUGAGUGACGGUAAUGGGUAAAGAAGCACCGGCUAACUACGUG
Molecule: ribosomal RNA, 468 nt
Filed under: uncultured bacterium
Lineage: Bacteria
Description: partial 16S ribosomal RNA
Rfam family: Bacterial small subunit ribosomal RNA
Source: RNAcentral